AGCCAGAUAGCUUAGCAGGUUAAAGCAGCGCCCUUAUAAGACGCAGAUCAUGGGUUCAAGUCCCAUUCUGGCUACCA
This 77-nucleotide transfer RNA is filed under the name bacterium. Its description in RNAcentral is "tRNA-Ile". It matches the Rfam family "tRNA". Rfam says of the family: Transfer RNA (tRNA) molecules are approximately 80 nucleotides in length. Their secondary structure includes four short double-helical elements and three loops (D, anti-codon, and T loops). The record is from RNAcentral.